AAAACAUGUCCUCUUUGUUAUUUAUAUGAGGUCUGACCUGCCCGAUGAUGUUUUCAAUGGCCGCAGUAUACUGACUGUGCUAAGGUAGCAUAAUCAUUUGUCUUUUAAUUGAAGGCUGGAAUGAAGGGUUGGACGAGAUAUUAGCUUUCUUUUUAUUACAUUCUAAAUUUAACUUUUAGGUUAAAAGGCCUAUAUUAUAUUAAGGGACGAGAAGACCCUAUAGAUCUUUAUAUUUAUUAUUAUUUAUCAUCCUUUAGUUAGAUAAUUGAUGGUAUAUUUAAUAUAUAUUUAAUUGGGGUGAUUACAGAAUUACUAUAACUUCUGUUUUAGCUUGCAUUGAUUUAUGUUUUAGUGAUCCAUUAUUAUUGAUUGUAAGAUUAAGUUACCUUAGGGAUAACAGCGUUAUUCUUUCAGAAAGUUCUUAUUAAUGAAAGAGUUUGCGACCUCGAUGUUGGAUUAAAAUAAGUUUUGGGCGCAAAAGUCUAAUUACUUGGUCUGUUCGACCAUUAAAUUUUUACAUGAUCUGA
This 527-nucleotide ribosomal RNA is filed under the name Neoscadra sp. MF-2017. RNAcentral describes it as "partial 16S ribosomal RNA". It matches the Rfam family "Bacterial large subunit ribosomal RNA", at positions 1810 to 2608 of the family's 2925-position model. Lineage: Eukaryota; Metazoa; Arthropoda; Insecta; Hemiptera; Reduviidae. The record is from RNAcentral.